Molecule: non-coding RNA, 1136 nt
Organism: Thunnus maccoyii (southern bluefin tuna)
Lineage: Eukaryota; Metazoa; Chordata; Actinopteri; Scombriformes; Scombridae
Source: the annotation of a RefSeq genome assembly
CAUCACACAAAACACCCAUAAAACGCAGAAGAAAAACAGUGAGAGAUGAAUGGAUAAUCAAUUACAUUUCAAUUCCACCUCUUGUUACUCUCUGACCACCACUUUAAUCAGUUACUGAAUAUACAAACUCACUGAUAUUAUUUUAAUGCACAGUUAUCAUUACUGAUGUCUGAUAUCAAACAAAACAGCUAAGAUUGUUGCUUAUUUUUUCCCUGUUAACAACCUGAUCUGUUGUAGAUUCAGUAAUAACUUCACAAUCUCCUCUAAAGUCCUGCAGGGACCACUCACAGAGCUCUUGAGAAAGGCUGCAGUUGCAGUUCAGUGUCCACUAGGAGAGUGUAGCUGUGCUGACAAACUUCUCCACGUGACUGUGUGAAAGUGAAUGAAUGUGGGCAGGGAGUUCAUGGUUAAAGAUUGAAAAACAGAGAGGACAGGGAGGAUCAGAUCAUAUUUCAUAUGUUUUGAUUGCAGUAGCAGUAAAUGAAGACAGAGUUAUGACUGUAAUGUAGAUUGCUCUGAUGUUUUUAUUCUAAAACCUUUGACCACAGUGGAAAUGAACGUCUUCUUGGUUGCAGUUCUUAUCUUCUCCAAUUUCUCUGUCUGUGUGAAAAUUCAACAGCUUCCAUUUUUAAUCAGUCGUGAAGGAGACAAGACUGUAACUUUGGAGUGUGAACAAGAUGAGGAUCAAUAUUACAACAUGUACUGGUACAGACAAAGCAGCAGUGGGGAAAAAAUACAGAUGGUAUCAUUUUCUGCUGGUCAAGGUUCAACAAACAUUGAAGCUCCUUUCAAUGACUCCAAGUACACCAUGACGCGGCCUGAGGUGCUUAAUUCCUCUCUGGUGAUACACUCUGCUGAAGCCGGAGACUCAGCUGUGUAUUACUGUGCCUCCAGUAUAGCACAGUGGUUCAGAAAGCCUCAACAGCUAAACAACAACCUCAAGAGAAAACCAAGAGGAGGGAUGAGUGACAAGGACCAAUGUGUUGAACUCUGAGAGUCAGGAUUUUGUUGUAGUGUGAGACAUGAUAGACAACUAACAUCAAUGUGACAUGAAAAUAAGGAUCGGACCAUUAAUUACAGAAAAAAAUAUGUUUAAAAAACAACAGCACAAUGAACAUCUAUUAAUUCAGCGAAGG